CAAUGAAUGUUAACGUGGUUAAGCUGCAGUGAAAAAGAAAAAGAAAAACAAAAGACUCCUGUAACGAACUGAAUUCAAGUACUUUUGAGUUCUGAUAGCCCUUCUAUCGUCUUAUUCUCCUCUUUUCUAUCUUUCUUCCAUGAACAUAAGGUGUUUCUCUUUUCAUUCUUGCAAGUAAUCUAUUCUACAUAUGAUUCUAUUGUGUAAUUUCGAACUUUUGAUUUGAACUGAAUUUUGUUUUGCCUUCACCUGACAACUUUUGAAGGUGCGAGAACAUUGAUUCUUUAUUCGAUGAAACAAUCUGGUGAUGAAGGAUUGUGCCUAAACACAGAAGAAGUAGAAAAAGUGGUUAUGAAAAUAUGGCCAUGCGAGGAUUGAGAAAUACGAGAAUGACAUUUUGGGGUUUGAUUCAAUUCAAUGUUGGAUUUGAGAUUCGCAGAUCAAGUACUUCACAUGCUGGUAAACUACAUCGUAGAUCUAGGUUAUACCCCAUAUUCUGAAUUUGGUGAAAAAACAUCUUUCACAAGGACUUAAAGGACUUGAUUACCAAAAAUCAGAUCUAGGUCCCUAUCAUAUACAUAUGAGGAAUUGAAGAACAUAUAUUCUUGGCUGCUAAUAAUGCAUGCGAUCACAAUGAUACAUGUUCAUAUGAGAGAAGUAGUGGAGACAGAAUAGAAGGCAACGACAGAGUGAACAACACCGUCAGGUAUUGUUUUUUUCUUUUUUAUAUCUUAAUUCCUCCUUUAAUUAUCAUUGUCUAAUCUAGAUCAUCAAAAUAUUCCCAUGGUGUAAAUUUUAUGAACUUCACCUAAAGUUACUUAGAGGAGUCGAAUCCGACACGGUUUCUAUGGCCUAUUUAUCCACACACACACCAUUAAUCUUACGGACGAAUAUUAACGUAGCCAUCAGAGAAUUAUACUGUGAACCAUAUGAAUAAGUUGAUCAGUAUACGUAUUUCGAAUCCAGGUCUCUCUGCAUGAUCAACUUUUUGGAAGAAAAUUAAAUUAUGCUUGAUGAAACAAACGCCCAAUGUCGAAACUUCAAUAUAUCGAAAGCUUGUUGUACGUGAAAGCUGCCAAAUUUUGUAGUUAUGUUUUCUUCCGUUCUCUGUUUCAUAUGAUAUUUACAUGUAAUCCACAUGCAAGUUAUACUCCUGAAAGAUGUGUGUUUGUGCAUGUCUAAUAUAUAUGCACGCAUAGGGUUCAAACUUAGGGUCUGGUUCAAGGGACACAAAUUUUGACACUAUUUUUUACACUAAUUUUUAUCCAUUAGAUCUUAGUUGAUCAAAUGGUUGUCAUUAACUAUGAGUAUGACUUGGCAAGUGACAUGACAAUAAUAUAUUUUCCAAAUAAAAA
RNAcentral lists this long non-coding RNA (1355 nucleotides) under Fragaria vesca (wild strawberry). RNAcentral describes it as "long non-coding RNA (FVES_LNC003173)". Lineage: Eukaryota; Viridiplantae; Streptophyta; Magnoliopsida; Rosales; Rosaceae. The record is from RNAcentral.